Molecule: ribosomal RNA, 1362 nt
Filed under: Colochirus quadrangularis
Lineage: Eukaryota; Metazoa; Echinodermata; Holothuroidea; Dendrochirotida; Cucumariidae
Description: 16S ribosomal RNA
Rfam family: Archaeal large subunit ribosomal RNA (bases 657-1362)
Source: RNAcentral
AUAAAAUUUCACUCCCUAUAAACUACAAACAUAAAUAACUAAAACAAUAACCAAUCUCCCUUAGUAUUAUAAAAGAAAAAUGAAAUAAAAUGAAAAAUAAAAAAAAAAAAGGAGUACACAACGUACCUUUUGCAUAAUGGAUUAACAAGAUUUUAAGGAAAACCCUCCUACACCCGAAACAUGAAGAGCUAAUUAUUUCUUCUUUUAGAGAAAUUACCCACUGUUGCAAGAGUGAAUAAAAAGGAAUAAUUAGAAGUAAAAUGCUAAACGUAUCAUGUAAUAGCUGGUUUCUAAGGAAAAUAGUAUAAGCUAUAUCUCAAUAAAAAAAAUAAACUCUUACAGAACAAAUAAAAAAUUUGAAGAUAAGAAGAUAGAAGACAAGUUCUACCUUCUAAAAGGAAACAACCAAAAAUAAAGGAAAAGAAAUCAAAGAAUAAAACCUAGUAGGCCUAAAAGCAGCCACCAAAAAAUAAAGCGUUAAAGCAAAAACAAAAUAUAUCCAAAAAUUUACUCUUUAAACUAAACCUUAUCCCCCAGAGUACUUAGAAAAAUAUAAUGUUAAUACUAGUAAAUACUCUUAUCUAAAGAAAAAAUAACCUCAAUCCAACAACCCAACCUAUUAAGCCAAGAAAAAUUAAAAGUUUUAUCAACUCAGACGAUACGAAAACAGAAAAAAAAGAAAAAAGGAACUAGGCAAAGCAAGAAAAGGACUGUUUACCAAAAACAUAGCUCCUCGAAACAACAAAUGAAGAGUAAAGCCUGCCCAAUGGAAAUAACUAAAUGGCCGCGGUACUUUGACCGUGCAAAGGUAGCAUAAUCAUUUGUCUUUUAAAUGAAGACUUGUAUGAACGGCACAACAUUUUCUAACUGUCUCUUUUCUUCACCUUCUAAACUCCUAUUAAUGUGAAGAAACAUUAAUAAAAAAGAAAGACGAGAAGACCCUGUCGAGCUUAAAUUUUUAACAGAACAAAAUCUUAUUUUUUAUAAAUAAAGAAACUUCUAUAAAAAAAUUUUGGUUGGGGCAACCAUGGAGAAAAAACAACCUCCAACAAAAAAAAAGAAACAUAAAUCAUUAAAAAUAAAUAACCCAUAUCCUAUGAAAAUAAAAAAAGUUACCGCAGGGAUAACAGCGUCAUCUCCUUUCAGAGUCCAAAUUGACAAGGAGGAUUGCGACCUCGAUGUUGGAUUAGGGUAACCUAAGGGUGCAGAAGCUCUUAAAGGCCGGACUGUUCGUCCAAUAAUCCCCCACAUGAUCUGAGUUCAGACCGACGCAAGUCAGGUCAGCUUCUAUCUUCUUUUAAAAAACUUCUCUAGUACGAAAGGAUCGAGAAGAAAUCUCCAAUAAUAUUCAUCAAGAGAUAA